This 24438-nucleotide long non-coding RNA is filed under the name Malus domestica (apple). RNAcentral's name for it is "long non-coding RNA (MDOM_LNC014235)". Lineage: Eukaryota; Viridiplantae; Streptophyta; Magnoliopsida; Rosales; Rosaceae. The record is from RNAcentral.
CUCCUCUUCUCUUCUUCUUCUUUUUCCUUUUCACACUUUCUCCUCUUCUCUUCUUCUUCUUUAUCCUCCUUUUCCUUCAAACUCAAUAUCCGAAUCUGAUCAAUGAUGGAAGGAUCGAAGUUCCGAAUCUCAUCGAGGAAGGCGGGGUCAGACUGAAGCUCAUCAAGCACGGCGGGGUGGAGUUCCCGAAUCCAAUCAAGGAUUUCAGAAUCGAGAUCGGAUGGCGCAGGUGACGAAACAGACGGCGGAUUUAGAGGACCGUCGACUCUUUCAGAAAUUUCCGAAGAGAAAGCAGGGUCGAAGUUCCGAAUCACAUCGAGGAAGGCAGGGUCGAGAUUCCUAAUCUUAUUGAGCAUAUCGGGGUCGAGUGUCCGAAUCCAAUCAAGGAUUUCACGCUCAAGAUCGGACGGCGCAGGUGACGGAACAGACGUCGUCGGAUUUAGGGGAACUUCGACGCCUUCAGAAAAUUCCGAUUUCCGUCCAGAUUUGAAGUACUGAUAAAUUAAUACCAGCACUGACACUGACACAGGUAGGGCAAUACGCGCCGCUGAAAAAAACAUAGUUUUUGUGCUGAUGGCGGCGGCGGAUGCGGCGGCGACGGUAGCUGAAACUGGGUUGCUAGGUUUUUGCUGUGAACUUGCAACUAGCAACUACAUUAUGGAGGAAACAAACUCUCUCAUAUGAUCAAAACAUACUUUGACCGCCUAAAUCAAAGUCUGCUUUGUCUAGAGGCAUGUUUGGAUUGCUUUUCAAUUCCAAAGCUACUUUAGUAAAAGUGGAGAACCUCAUAAUAAAAGAAUAACUUACAUGGAUCGAAUACACUUUGUAUCAGCGUCUCAGUUUAAGCAAAUAUUGUUACAAUGUAACGAUAUCUUAAAUCGAUGCGUUGAUAUGUAACAUCUAUGUGUAGGUUGAGUACUCCUUUAUAAUAAUACUUAAGAUUUUGAUUCCUUCUCAUUCCGUCUCCCAAUUAAUUUGAUCAAUCGUUCCAAUUUCGAAUUAAUAAACACGUCGUGAAAGUAUUUUUAACUUUCAAACGAAAUUUUCCACUUAUUUCAGGCUGAGUCAACCCUCUUUACUCUCCAUUUUGGUUGUCCUACAAACACGUUACUUAGUAAUGUGGGUUUGCCUUUCACAUUGGUGUUGUAUAUGCAAAUUUAACCAAUGUUGCAUUCAAGAUAGACAAUGCACGUAACGUCGCCGCAAGUUCGAUACGUAACAGACGAUCCCGGCGCAGGUUUUAUCAAGAGAGAUCAACAACCGAAUCAUUUGCAGUACUCGGGAUAGGCAGCGACAACGAAAUUGAAAGGAUAUUCUUGACUAAAGUGUUUUCCGGUAAUAUGACAUGGAUGAGAAAUAAUUUACAGGUUCCAUCUCCCUUAAAUCUCACAACUAUAAAGUCUGUGUCGUCCGGUGAAGAGGUUUGAUACAUUUCUAAGAUUAAAUUACCAAAAGAGAAAGAUUACACAUGUUUGAGUGAUGCAAAUCCUGUGCUCUAGGCAAGCAUUUCAUGCAUAACUUACUGCACGGGCUGCGGCUGACUUGUAACAUCAGUUCCGUUUCUGCUCCCAGCCAUUCCUGCCCCGUUAGUGGUUGCCGAGUCACUGAAAGGAAGUUGAGGAUCAGGACCAGAUGUAGUUGAAGAUGGUAUAUGUAACGGGUGUUGGAGUUUGAAUGAAAUUUCAACUCAAAUGUGGGGUAUUGUUGGAAAUUUGAGUAGUUUGAGUAGAAAUUUCUUUGUCUCACAUUGGCCAUUUCCAAAAGAUUUUAUCACUUUAUAAGGCUUUGUCUUUUAUAGAAAGUGAUUGGAAUAAUAGGUCUGGAGACUAAAAUUGGGCUCACCCUUGGAGUUGGGCUUUGGGAUUUACUAAUUAAUUGGUAAUUAAUUAUAAUUAAUAUAUAUUUUUUUCUGUGUUUUAAAUGCCAUGCAGAUGAAUGUAUAUAUAGUGUGAUUAUACCUGUUCGCAACAUGUAUGAGGAAGGGAUGCAUCUGUUGGGAGACAUCAUAAACAUCAUUUCUGAGAGAACCACAUUAAUAUUCGCCAGAAGUCAAUUUUCCGGUGCUGAAAUUUCUGACUUAGAUCGUUGAAUCCUGAUGAAGCAGACGUCCGUAGAACUACAAGCACUGAAUAGGGGCGAAAUUUUUGUUUCAAGGACAUUGCGGUACGCAAGCCUCGAUCUUUUGUUACUCUGCUUAAUUAAUAUUUCAUCUUGUUGAGUCUCUGGAAUAUAUUUAUUCGUAUUUAUUAUUAGCAUAUUUAUUUUAUUGCGGAUUGUUGACAUAUAUCCAACAACCGGUGGUCAAAUUUACAAGCUGGCCCAAAUUUGCAAAUGCCAUAGCGACUGUGAUGUGUGCAAAUGUUCUGAUCCUGGAUUUUGAAACAAAUUUUGUGUGGUCAAUGGCGUGCAAUCAUGUAAUAUGCGAUCAAACUGAGGCUCUCAUAGAGCGGGAACAAUUGUCCUCACAUAGUAUUUCAUUUGUUUUACCUUAAUGUAUCACAAAGUGAAAACCUUUCGAAGAUCGUAUUUCCGAAAUUAUGAACUCGUAAUAAAGGGCAUGCUCAAAGAAGGGUGAACUUACCGGUCUCAAAGGCAGGCCCUUGUCACUGAGUGCGAUUGGGGCGGCUACUGCAGUGCAGUAUGACUUGUUGGAUGGUGAUAUUUGCAAUUAGAUUUAAACUUGCAAUCCCCCGUUCUUAAGAAAUAAGGUACCGUCUGGUACGCAAACGGGACGGAACGGGAUGGAAUGUGUGAAAUUCCAUCCUUAAUUUGUCGUAUAUUAUAUUAUCGAACAUAUGAUUACCAAAUUGUCCUUGAGGCAUGAACGUUGACUUUCGUUGACCGUCUCGUCGUGACGCGUAUUACUAAUUUUCUUAAUUUAUUCUUAUCGUACUCAUCGAUACGAACGCGUAGGCGCGAACGGAUUUGAAUUUGAAGUUAUAACGAAUAUUUUACAUUACGAAACGUCGAACGUUUUUCGAAUAUUUUGUGUUUCGUCUUUAGUGACCUUGUUUUGUGAGCCAUAGGGACCACAUGUUUUCUUCAUUUUUCCUCGUAACCCCUCUCUUCUCUCUUCCAUCUAUUAUUUUCUGAACACUCACUCUCUCCCUCUCUACACUCUUGGCCAUCUCUCAAACCAACCCUCCUAGAGGGGUUUCACUCAAACAAAUCACACAACAACAACCUUGGUACCACCACCAUCACUCCUAUGAACUCAGAAUUGAAAGAGGACCCUCCAAACUCGCUGCACAGCGUUCACCACUGUUCACUGAGUUUUUCGACGAGUUUCCACCUUUUUUGACGAAGGUAAGCCUCAAAACUUGUCCAAAAGUUGUAGAUCGUGUCUUGGUGUAUGUUUACAGGUAGUUUUGAGAAGUUUCGGUGAUGUUUGGACGUAGGAAUCUCAUGGGGAAAACUUCCAUAGUUUUCCCGGUGAAGACAGCCACUUUCGAGCCAUUUUCCGGCCGAACCACGACGAGUUAGUCAUCAAGAAAGGUACCAUUCUCUUCCUCUCAUCGAGAAGUAUGAUUUUCGUUUUUGAAUCACUCAAUGACGUUGAGUAUUGAAGAAGUUAUGAAUGUUUAAAGUUUACCUAGUUUACGGCGAGUUCUCCGGUUUUCCCACGGACCGGUCACACUUCAAGCCAUUUUCCGGCUAUUUUCGGCAACCAUUGGGCUUCCAAAUAGGUAUAAUCUUGUUCGACACUUUCCUAUCUUCAUUUUAUAUAUUAUGGGUCGAAUUUGGUUAAGAAACACGUGAGUUGAGAAGCUUUGAAAAUUACCCAACUUCCAGCCAAAAAUCCCAAUUUCUAGUAUAAGCUCCGACGGCUCGGCUCGGCUCAGCUUCAGCUGACUUCUCAAUCAGUGUCGACCAUUGACUGUCAACAUUGACUUUUGGGUUGACAUUUUUUGGUUUCGGCUGGGACCCCUCCUAGACUAAUUUCGACGUCCUAAUUCCAAAUAUGCGCUUCUUUUUUCCAAAUUCAAUCAUUUUAGUAGAGUUUUAUUAAUUGGUCCCUUCAUGUGCUUAGGUGCAUUUGUUAGUGGCAACCCCGUCCUCUCUAGUUAAAACGGCUCUUCGGCGAUAGAGUAUCUGUUAGUUGACCCCUUCCAAAAUGCAUGAUUUUAUUACUAGAGAUGCAUACAUGAAAAACAUGAUUUUAUGGCUACAUUUUAUGAAACGUUUAUGAGUAAAUUGGAUUUACGCUUUGUGAAAUAUCAUGCUUUAUCAAAUUUAUGUUUACUGAGAUAUUUAUGAAUAUGAUUUAUUGAUAUGAUGUUUGAGCUAUUGAGCUCCGAUGAGAUAUAUUUUGGAAAGAUUAUGUUCAUGAUUUUAUGUGCUUACUUAGUGAAUGAUACUUAUAUAUGCCUUCGGGCCGGUGAUGAAGGGCCUUUGGGCGAAUGAUACUUAUAUAUGCCUUUCGGCGAGUAUGAAGGGCCUUCGGCCGGGCGAGUGAUACUUAUAUAUGCCUUCGGGCGGGUGAUGAGGGCCUUCGGGCAAAUGAUACUUACAUAUGCCUUCCGGCGAAUGAAAUACCACUACUAAGCACACUAUAUAUGAUAUAUGUUUUACAAAGGUUUUAUGGCAUGCUAGGGUUUUCGGAAAACCUAUUACUUAUUAUGCUAUAUGAGUUUCUAAAACUAGGGUUUAGUACGUUAAAGAAUAACUGUUUUAGUAUUACAUAUAUAUAAACUUAGUCCACUCAUGUUUUUUGUUUUGAGCCCCCUUAGGACUUAGGAACAAGGCAUACGACCCAAGCUACAAGGCAUUCCCAUAUCGGUGAAUUUGUGUCCUCUCUGCGUAGGACAUCUCUUGUAAUCGCACCUUCUGAUAUCCCUUCCACUUGUAUUUCGAAUUAGUAGUAAUACUCUGAACAUGUCAUGCAUUAUUACUUUUAAAUUGUUGGCAGUGAACUAUUAUUAUAUUUUCUAUUAAGGUUUGUACUUGAAUAUUACAUUGCGUGGUUAAGCACUAAAUUUAUAUGCAUGUUUCACAUGUUCUUGGCAUAUGCAUUCAUUAAAUGGCUUGCGUCACCCUUGAGUGUCGGCGAGCACGUGGCCAUCCCGUUGGCCUUUGGACACCGGGAUCGGAGCGUAUCAAAAUGGGACGGAACGGGACAGUUGUUCCAUUCUGCAUUUGCAGCUUCCGAGUCACAGAAAGGAAUCUGAUAAUGACGGAUGGUCAAAUCUACAGGUUGGCCCAGAACUGCAAACGCCAAAGCGGCUGUACUCUGUGCAAAUCUUCUGACCCUGGAUUGGAAACAAAUUUAGGAUGAAAGUUUAUGCAAUUGAUGGCAUGCAAUAACGAAGCACAAUAACUGAUCAAACCGAGUAUUUCAUAUAGGAGAGGCAAGAGAGGAACUGUUAGUUAAGAAUCCUUCUAUUUUGAAAGAGACAUCCAUAACUUUCAUUACAAAUUAUUUUUCGCAAGGUCAAAUGAGUCUCAGUAAUAUACAUUUUCUUGGUACAUUGCUAAUUAUCCAAGGUACACUAAAAUUUGCAAAAAGACUUCAAUUCCAAUAUUAUCCCAUCACUUAAUCAAAAUAAAAAGUUUGAAUAACAAGUGGUGGUUAGUUAUUAAUGCUGUCAAGGGUGAAAAAAUAUGCACAUUGGCAAACGGUGAACUCAUUGGCCCAAAAGAGAAUAACUUAGAACUUAAAAACCAACCUUCUGUGCUACUUGUAUCACAAAGUGAAAAACCUUUUUGAGAUCAUAAUCCAUAGUUACGAAUUCUGUAUAAAAAGAACAGUUCGAAGAAGAGUGAACUUACUGGUCUUAAAGGGAGGCCCCUGUCACUGAGUGCACAUGAGGGGGUCGCUGCAGUCUGAUUUUUUGGAUGGUGAUAUUGGCAAUUAGAUUUAUUAUCACAAUCCCCUGUUUGAGCGAAAUAGAAGCAAACAGGUUGCCCAGGUCGUUCUGGUAAUUCUUCAGCUUGCGUCUGCUGUGCAUAUUGUCCGUAGUAGUUGGUUUCAGUCACCGAGUUGUUCGUAACAUAUGGUGGAGGUGCAGGCAUGUUUCUAUGAACAUAUGGUGGAGGUGGUGGAGGUGGUGGAGGUGGAGGUGGAGGUGGAGGUGCAGGCAUGCUUGGUAGAUAUGCUGGAGCCUAAACAUGUUUUGGCCAAUACAAAAUUAGAGAGAAAAGCAUGUUUUUGAAAAUGCAAACGAGAACAGCAGUAAUUCUAUAAAUUCUACAAAAAAAAGGGGCUAUUCUUACUUAUACCCACAAACUAAUACGGAACCCAAAUAAGAAGUCUAGAUGUACCGAUGUGAAAAUGUAAGCAUAUUACCACAACUGAUGUAGACAACAAUUUGUUAUCAAUAUUCAAAUCUUCAAGAAUUUAACUUCUUUACAAAGAAUAUUAGAAUAUCACAAUAAGUCCUUAAUGUAGGACCAUAUUAUUAUUUUUAUGAGCCGAACAUGAAUAAAAAGGGCAUGAGAAGAAAAAAAAAAAAAAGAGGUCAAAACACAAAAAGAUCCGACUAUUAUCCCAAAAGAGACGGUAAUUCGCAUAUCAAAAAGUGAUGAGAGUUAUUUAAAUUUUAAACCCAAGACUUUAAUAAGGGAGUGAUGGCUAAAGUACCUGAUAACCAUUCCAUUCUGUAGUUUCAGAAUUAAUCCCUUGAGAAUUUGGCAGACCUUGUAAUGAUGCAGGCCUACCAUUACCAUACGCGGAUUGCGGGUGAGAUUCUCCAGCAGCUGUAGGAUCAGGGUGGUUAAACUUGCAGUUUAUUCCGUACUUGCAGGUCCCAGUUCGCAUAUAGUAGGAACAAUCUUUCUCCCCCUGUAAUACGUUAAAACAAUUAUUCAGCAAACAUAUGGACACAUUAAAUUGGUCCAAAAGAAUAAGAAAAUAAGCAAAGAUAAAAUCUUAAACCUUAAACAUCAUGAAUAGAUAGAAAUUCAUUCCUCAAAUUUUUACAGAUCAAAUCUAGAGCUUAUACCGGACGAAUUGGCAGGUCCGAAAAAUUAAGUUCCAGAGCUGGAGCUACAGAAGGUACCCCUAUACGUCGUCCUGGGCUGAUGUAAUACUGCAACAAGCUUAAGUGUUGUAUUAAGAUCGUGAAACUGUUACUAGGCCACCACGUAGCACAGAUUUGAAUACGAGGGUACAAAGGGAAAGAAAUGUCUUUGACAUUUAAAAACAUAAUUGUAAUCCUGUAUAAAAAGGAAAAUGUAAUUGUAAUGUAACAGCAUACAAUUGUGAAAACACAUCGACUAUAAGUUGAUCACGUUCAAGACCCUCAUCAUUCUAUAGUUAGCUACAAGAUGAAAAAGGUUUAAGCUUGUAUAUUCACUAGCGCAUUCUAACCAACUAGCUUUCAGAUAACCAUAUCGAAAAACCCCAUCGUCAAAACACAACAUAGUACUUGAAAUCAAAUAUGCGAAGUAAAACAAAACUUAAUGAUGUAAAACAUGAAAACCAAGCAAUUGCAGUAAAAACCAGAACUUCGGAUAGAUAAUAACCUUGCUUUCGGUCUGGUCUUGCUUCUCUUCCAACUCUUCCCUCUGCUUUGCCUUGUCCUUCGACACCUUCAAAUCAAUAUGAUAAAGUUCAAAACACCAAGAAACACAAAGUGAGCACCAACGACACAAUUAUUUCCUGCAUUCAUACAAGGCCAGAUGCAUUAAUGUCUCAAAUACUAAAUGCAGGCCCAAAGUCCCGAUUUGUUUCAGAUACAUUUCACCACAACGAUGCACGUGAAAGAAAAACAUCAUCUUUAACAAAUAAAUGCGGAACAAGAGAGAUAUACCUGCUUGUUUUUCCCUAUCCGAGGGUGAUUAUACUUGCAAUUCGAUCCGAACUUACAAAUGCCAGUCCUCAGAUAGUUCCAACAGUCUCCAAGCCUCAAUGGGUACUGAUCCCUUCUGCUACUCUCCUCAACAACCUCCUCCCCCACCUCACCACCAUUCUCAUUCCCUCCUCCGCUGCCACUGCUGCUACUGCUUUCGCUCUUUUCCCUCUCUCUCUCCUUCUCCUCUUCUUCUUUUUCCUCAUUUUCCUUCAAACUCAAUUUUCGAAUCCCAUCAACGAUGGAAGGAUCGAAGUUCCGAUCCUCAUCCAGGAAGGCGGGGUCGAAUUGCUGAAUCUCAUCGAGCACGGCGGGGCCGAGUGUCCCAAUCCAAUCAAGGAUUUCAACAACGGACGGCUCAGGAGACGGAACGGACGGCUCAGGAGACGGAACAGACGGGGGAUUUUGAGGAACGUCUACGCUUUCAGAAAUUUCCCAAGGGAAAGCAGGGUCCAAGUUCCGAAUCUCAUCAACGAUGGAAGGAUCGAAGUUGCGAAUCUCAACGGCGGGGUCGAAUUGCUGAAUCUCAUGGAGGAGGGCAGGGUCGCGAUUCCUAAUCCUAUUGAGCACGGCGGGGUCGAGUCUCCGAAUCCAAUCAAGGAUUUCACGCUCGAGAUCGGACGGCGCAGGUGACGGAACAGACGUCGGAUUUAGGGGAACUUCGGCGCCUUCAGAAAAUUUCGAUUUUUGUCCGGAUCUGAAGUACUUAUAAAUUACGACCAGCACUGACAGUGACACCGGUAGGAGGACACGCGCCGCUGUGAACAUAGUUUUUGUGCUGAUGGCGGCGGCGGAUGCGGCGGCGACGGUAGCUGAUAGGACUCCAGUUCACAGAGGAAGAAAUAAAAGGAAGACAGCUAAGUUAGGUAGAAAAGUUAAGGCAUUUUCAUUUCAUAAUCCGAGGAGAUACAAUUGGGGGUGCUUAUAUAUAACCCAUUAGCCAACACAAACAAAAGGCUCAAGUGCUGAGUCAUCCUCUAAUAACUACUCUCACUACAAUACAGGAUAGUAAUAAAAGGUAAAGAAGGUGGACCCGAUAAGGUUCUAACAUGGCUCUCCCCCCUUAACAAGCCUGUCCGCAGGCGUUAAACCCAGGAAAACGAGUUAAGAUAGAGUCGGCAUCCUCCCACGUAGCAUCAUGCUCCGGAAGACCUUCCCAUUUAAUGAGCCAACGGGUGAUUGCUCGAUUGUCUUGCUUGAACAUGCCACGCUGAAGUAUCUUUUCUGGGGUCCAGAUGAAGGCACCAGUCAAGGAAACUGGGGGAAGAGUUGGUGAUGCAACUGUAUAAGCACCCACAUUGGGUUUAAGUAAGGAGACAUGGAAGGUAGGAUGAAUGCGAGAGUGAGGAGGCAGGUCCAGAGUAUAUGCCACUUGACCCACGCGAGCAAGCACCUUGAACGGUCCAUAGUAGCGAGGAGCCAAUUUAGGGCAAUGCGUCUUAGACACUGAUGUCUGGCGAUAGGGUUGAAGCUUGAGAAAGACCCAAUCCCCAACUGAAAAGGUUCGCUCCGAACGAUGUUUAUUAGCCUGCUGGCGCAUCCGAUGUUGAGCGAGGUGCAGGUUCUCCCGCAAUUGCCUGAGCAGGGCAUCGCGAUCUCGAAGGGUGACAUCAACCAGAUGAACCAGAUAAGAGCCAGGAAGAUAGGAGGACACCGUUGGUGGUGGGUAGCCAUAGACUGCCUGAAAAAAGGUCAUUUGAAUGGCAGCUUGAUAGGUAGUAUUAUACCACCACUCGGCCCAAGGAAGCCACUGUAUCCAAUCAUUGGGUUUGUCCCUUACAAAACUGCGCAGAUAUUGUUCAAGGGUGCGAUUGAGCACUUCGGUUUGGCCAUCGGAUUGUGGAUGAUACGCCAAGCUCUUGCAAAGAGUGGUGUGCUGCUGUUUAAAGAAGGCAAUCCAAAAAUCACUAAUAAAGACUGGAUCCCGAUCACUCACUAUGGAAGCCGGCAUGCCAUGAAGGCGAAAGACUUCGUGAAUAAAGAUAUCAGCGAUUUUGGCCGCCGAGUAUGGGUGUUUGACCGGAAUGACGAUCCACUACCACGAAAAUAACGUUGCGCCCAUGGACCGAAGGAAGGCCUUCAAUGAAAUCCGUGGCAAUGUCGUGCCAUACGUUGGUGGGAAUGGACAGAGGUUGCAAGGGGCCUGGUGGUUUAAUCGUCUCAUACGUUGUACACUGGCAGGUGUCACAGGCAGCCACAAACUUUUUAACAUCUUUUUUUAGCCCCGGCCAAUUGAAAUUGAGUGUUAACCUCUUGUAAGUGCGUAGAAAGCCCGAGUGUCCCGCAGAUGGUGAAGAAUGAAACUCAGCAAGGAGGCGUGCUCGCCAAGGGGAAGAGGCAGCAACAAAAAACCCCCUUCUUAUAGUAUAAGAGAUCGCCGUGGAGUUUAAAUAAAGCAUGACGCUCCAGGUCCUGUUGCAAGGCCGCCAACAGUGAAGAGGCCUGAGGAUCAGUGGCAUAGUCUGCUUGUAUCGCAGCGAUACAAUCAAAAAGAGGCUGAGAUAGUCCCAUUAACCCAAGAACCUCAGGACGUCGGGAAAGAGCAUCAACAGCGGCGUUCGAAGUGCCCGGCCGAUAUUCCAGCGUAUAGUUAUAACCAAGUAACUUCAACAACCACCUUUGUUGAGUUGAAGUAGUGAUGCGCUGAUCAAGGAAAUAUUUCAAAGUCUGGUGGUCAGUAAGGAUCCGGAACUGAUGGCCUAUCAAAUAAGAACGCCAUUUUUGGACCGCAAAGACCACCGCCAACAUCUCCUUAUCAUACACCGAAAGAGCCUGGUGUUUUGGAGCUAAAGGUUUGUUAAGGAACCCAAUGGGAUGACCCUCAUGUGAUAAGACGACGCUAAUACCACUAUCAGAGGCAUCGCACUUAACCGUAAAUGGUUUGGUGAAGUCUGGAAGAGCGAGGACCGGUGUGGAAGACAAUGCCUGUUUGAGGGCCGAGAAGGCCUGAGCAACGUUGGUGGACCAUUGGAAACUGUCAGUGCGUAAUAAGUCCGUAAGUGGUCGUGCUAUUAUGCCAAAAUGAUGGACAAAUUUGCGAUAGUAGCCUGCGAGACCCAAAAACCCACGAAGGGCCCGAACAGUGGUUGGUGUCGACCAAUCUGAAAUCGCAGAAAUUUUAGAGGAAUCCACGACCACCCCUGUGACGGAUAUAAUGUGUCCCAAAUACGCAAUUGAAGGCUGGCCAAACAGACACUUCGAAUGCUUCAAUUUGAAUUGAUAAGUGCGUAAGAGCUCAAACACCUUAGCUAAAUGUGAGACAUGUUGUUCCACAGAGGCACUGAAAACCAAUAUAUCAUUAAAGAAAACUAUCACUGACUUAUGCAGCAAGGGCUUCAGAAUGGAAUUCAUUAAUGCCUGGAAGGUGGCUGGAGCAUUGGUCAGGCCGAAUGGCAUGACCGUGAACUCAUAGUGCCCCUCAUGUGUUCGGAAAGCGAUUUUAGGAAUGUCCGGUUCAUGCAUCCGUAUCUGGUGAUACCCCGAACACAAGUCGAGCUUCGAAAAUAUAACAGCACCCCGUAACUCGGCCAAUAAUUCAUCAAUAAUAGGGACUGGAAAACGGUCUUUGAUAGUGACAGAAUUCAAAACCCGAUAGUCCACACAAAACCUCCAUGUAUUAUCCUCUUUGGCCACUAAGAGCGUCGGUGAAGAAAAUGGGCUGUGACUGGGCUUGAUAAUACCCGUAGCUAACAUUUCCUCCACCUGCUGUUCAAGUUCAGCUUUUUGAGCAUGUCCAUAAUGAUAGGGUCUCAUAUUCACGGGGCCAGUUCCCGGAAGCAGAGAAAUCCGGUGAUCAAUGAGCCGGUGAUGGGGUAGGGUAGUGGAGGCUUAAAAAAUGUCAGAAUACUGGAGUAGUAAGGCUUGAAGGAUGUCGGGUAGUGGUGCUGGAUGAUAUAACCCUGUUGGUAAAUUGGAGAUCUGCGCCAUAAUAUGGAAAGGGUUCCUAAGGGAAGGAUCCAAGGAAGACAAUGGAGGUAUGGCCCCGGCUGAAUGGGCUGAAGAACCUACUAGACGAUAAUUGGUGCCCUGCACAGUGAACUCUAUGACUUUCAGAAGGAAGCCAAUAAGGCCCAAUGUUUCCAACCAAUCCACUCCAAAAACCAUGUCACACCCGACUACUGCCAGAAGGUGGAAGUCAGCACGGAAGUCAUACCCCCGAAGGUGAACAGAGACAUUGCGAGCCAUACCCUUUGUGCGAAAGUAGCGGCCCGUGGCCACCAUCACGGCCUCAUUGGAAGUUGAAUCAAUUGGAAGACCUAAACGGGCAGCGACCUGAGGAUUAAGAAAACUCUGGUCAGCCCCAGAAUCGAUGAACACUUGAAUCCGAGUAUGGUGGAGGACGCCUUCCAAAUGCAUAGCUCGUCCCCGGGAACGCUUUGUAGCCGAGAUGGCAUUGAGAGCAAUAGGUGGCGCCGGUUGGUCCCCUAUGGAAGGGUCAAGUGGGUUGGAGGUCUUGGGUUUCGACUGGAAGUCAGAGAAAUCCUCAUCCGCCAAAAGCAUGAGGAUGUGGGAUUGCCGACAACGAUGACCCGGCCAAUACUGCUCAUCACAAUUAAAACAGAGCCCAUGUUCCCUCCGUGCGCGCAUUUCGGCUUGGGCGAGGCGUAAUAUGGGCUUAGGGGGAAAAGUCGGUGUGGCGGCCGGUAAGGAACGGGAAGCAGGAGUGGACAUGAAGGGCACAACGGUGGAAUGAAAGAAAGGUUUAGAGGGGGUGGAGGAGGACCGAGGAAAAUGGUGUAUGGUCGUAGGACAGAAUGGAAGGACCGGCUACAAACGGGGUAGUGCGUGAGGGAGAAGGGGAAGUGCUCCAAGUGGGUAGGGGAAGGGUGGUGUGGGCAAUGGAAAAGGGCCCGCAUCCGAGCGAAACCGGAAUGGAACCAAUCAGAAUCUAGGGACUGGGUUGGGUUGUGGGUGGGUGUUUUAAAGAUCGAAUCUCCUCGAUGAGGGUCUGCUGAAAUUUACUUUGUUGAGUCUGGUGAACAUUUAGGCUGGCGAGAGACUGUUGCAGAUCCGCCAUAUGAUGCUGAAAAUCAUCUUGACGGAGGUUUAUCAGCGUCAUUGCCUCUUGGAAUCCAUGUAGUUGGGUGAGGAUUUGCUGCUGCUGAAAGUCCAGGUCAAGCUCCGCCUCGGAAACCUCGGCCACCGUCACAGAGGCCUUGCUCUUGCCCAUGGACGCCCAACUAGGCUCUGAUACCAAUUGAUAGGACUCCAAUUCACAGAGGAAGAAAUAAAAGGAAGACAGCUAAGUUAGGUAGAAAAGUUAAAGCAUAUUCAUUUCAUAAUCCGAGGAGAUACAAUUGGGGGUGCUUAUAACCCAUUAGCCAACACAAACAAAAGGCUCAAGUGCUGAGUCAUCCUCUAAUAACUACUCUCACUACAAUAAAGGAUAGUAAUAAAAGGUAAAGAAGGUGGACCCGAUAAGGUUCUAACAGUAGCUGAAACUGGGUUGCUAGGUUUUGUUGUGAACUUGCAACUAGCAACUACGUUUAUGGAUGAAACAAAUUCUCUCAUAUCUGCUUUGUCUAGAAGCUGCUUUAGGAAAAGUGAUUCUGUAUUAAUUAAUAAAACACUCGUUAACCAAAAUCAUGUGAAAUUAUCAAUUUAAUCCUUUAAUUAAAACAUAACAUAAAUAAGAAAUAUAAGACAUAAAUGUAAUUUCAUAUUACUAAAUUUUACUGUUUUUUUUUUCAAAGCCUCACCUACAUACACUCCCACAUUCUCUAUCACUCUCUUCCACUCUCUUCCACUCUCCUUCUAUUUGAAAAACCCAAAAAAAAAAAAAAAAAAAUUCUCACACUUUGUGUGCGCCCAUAUGCUAGUCUCAUAAUAACAGAAUGACUUACAUGGAUCGAAUACACUUCCAAGCAGUCGCUGGUUUAGAAAAUAUUGCUACAAUGUGACGAUACUUAAAACAAUAAUGCGUUGACAUAUAAGAUCUAUGUGUGGGCUAAGUCCUUCAUAAUAAUACUCAGAAUUUUGAUUCCUUCUUAUUCAUCUCUUGAUUAAUUUGAUCAAUCAUUCCAAUUCCUUCUUAUUCAUCUCCUGAUUAAUUUGAUCAAUCAUUCCAAUUUCGAAUUAGUAACCGCGUCGUAAAAAUAUUUUUAACUCUCAAACAAAAUUUCCCAGUUAUUUCAGGCUGAGUCAACUCUCUUUACUCUCCAUUUUGGUUGUCCUAGGGUUUUUUUUUUUUUUUGGGUCAAAGGUUGUCCUAGGUUCACUCGUAUGACCUAGGUUUGCUAGUCCUAGGUUCUCCAUCACCUUCACAGCUCCACUCAGAUGCCGUGACCUACAAACAUGCUAUUUUGUAAUAUGGGUUUGUCUUUUAGCUUGGUGUUGUAUAUGCAAAUAUAACCAGUGUUACAUGCAAGAUAGACAAUGCACGUAACGUCGCCGCAAGUCCGAUACAUAACAGAAGAUCCCGGCACAUGUUUUAUCGAUCGAGAUCAACAACCGAAUCAUUUGCGAUACUCGGGAUAGGCAGCGACAACGAAAUUGAAAGGAUAUUCUCGACUAAAGUACUUUCCGGUUAUAUGACAUGGAUGAGAAAUAAUUUACAGGUUCCAUUUCCCUUAAAAUCUCACAACUAUAAUGUUUGUGUCGUCCGGUGAAGAGGUUUGAUACAUUUUUAAGAUUGAAUUACCAAAAGUGAGAUUACACAUGUUUGAGUGAUGCAAAUCCUGUGCUCUAGGCAAGCAUUUCAUGCAUAACUUACUGCACGGGCUGCGGCUGACCUGUAACAUCAGUUCUGUUUCUGCUCCCAGCCAUUCCUGCCCCGUUAGUAGUUGCCGAAUCGCUGAAAGGAAGUUGAUGAUCAGGACCAGAUGACGGGUGGUCAAAUUUACAAGCUGGCCCAAAUUUGCAAAUGCCAUAGUGACUGUAAUGUGUGCAAAUGUUCUGAUCCUGGAUUUUGAAACAAAUUUUGUGUAAUCAAUGGCGUGCAAUCAUGUAAUAUGCGAUCAAACUGAGGCUCUUAGAACAGAGGGAAGAGAACAAUUAGUUAAUAAUAUUUAUGAUUCGGGAACAAUUGUCCUCGCAUAGUAUUUCAUUUGUUUUACCUUCAUGUACCACAAAGUGAAAACCUUUCUAGGAUCAUAUUUCGAAAUUAUGAACUCGUUAUAAAAGGCAUGGUCAGAGUAGGGUGAACUUACCGGUCUCAAAGGCAGGCCCUCGUCACUGAGUGCGAUUGGGGGGCCUACUGCGGUGAGUUUUUGGAUGGUGAUAUUUGCACUUAGAUUUAAACUUGCAAACACCCUUUCUUAAGAAAUAACUGCAUAAGGGUUGGCCAGGUCGUUCUGGGAACUCUUCAACUUGAUUCUGGUGUGGAUGUUGCCUGUAGACGUUGGUUUCAGCCACUGAGUUGUUCAUCAUGUAUGGCGGACGCGCAGGCAUGCUUCUUUCGGGUGCAUAUGCGGAAGCCUAAAAGUUCACAACGAAACACAAUAGGGAUGCCAAUUAACAAUAGAGACCUCACAAACUGAUAAGGAUGCCAAUUGACGAGUUGUGAAUGCAGAGAUAUGAACUAAAAAAAUUACUAUAACUGUUGCAGACAGCAAUUUGUCAAACUAUUGGGAACUUUAAGUCCUGGUUAUAUAUAAAAAUUCAUAGCAAAUGUGGUCGAGCAAAUUAUUAAUUUAUGAGCCAGAAAUGAAUAAAAAGAGAAUGGCUGAAAAGUAUAAGAAAGUUAAACAUACAAAAUGAUCGUGAUCUCUUAUCCCUGAUAAAGUAUUAACUGGUAUAUCAAAGUGAUCACAGUUAUUCAAACACGAGACUCUGAGAUGGGAAAGUUAAAUAAAAGAACCUGAUAACCAUUCCAUUCUGAAUUUUGAGAAGAAACUACUUGAGGUGGUGGAAUCAUCAGUGUCGAGUAAACCGGAUCCUCAUUCAAUGGCCUUGGUGCAGACCAUGGUGCCACUGUUGAUUGUGAUGCACCUUGUAAAGAUGCAGGACCACCAUUACCAUAUCCAGAUGGGGGAUCAGAUCCUCCUGUAGCUGUCGGAUCAGGGUGGUUAAACCUGCAGUUCGAUGCAUACUUGCAGGAGCCAUUUUGCAUAUAGUACGGACACUCCCUUUUACCCUGUAACAAUUAAAAAUAAAUAUUCGCAGUAACUGACAGAAACAUAAUAAAUAGGUCCAACAAACCAAGAAAAUAAGCAAAGAUAAAAUCUUAAAAAUCAUGAAUAGAUAUUCAUUUCUCAAAACUUAGCAAGUUAGAUAUAAAGUGUAUACCGGUCGAAUUGGCAGGCCCAGAAAGUUAAGCUCAAGCUUCCCUUUGCUGUGGCUGUAUCUGCAAUUUUCCCCAUGCUUACAUCCACCCGACCUCAAGUAAUACUGCAACAAGCUCAAGUGUUAUCUCAUCAUGAAACUGUUACUAGUCUGCCGUACACAUUGCAGAUAUUUGGAUAUAAGGCACAAAGAGAAGAAUUGUUACUGACAUCCGAAAGCAUAAUUGGAAUUACUGUAUAAAGGAAUACAAGAAUGUCAUGAAAAAAGCAUACAAUUUCAUGAAAACCCAUCCGGUGGAGAUUGUCUAACUACUCAUCAACUUGCUAUAAUUUAAUCAAACGGAUGAAAUGCCUCCCCAUACAACAUAAACAAAUAAAGUUCAAAAUCUCAGGAUUAUGCACUAGCCACAAGAUAAAAGUUUUUAGCUUUUUGUUUCGGUUAUGCAUGCCAACCUAAUUUUCAGAUAAGCGGACUCAGAAAACCCCACCAUCAUAACAAUGACCGCUAGGAUACCAAAUACAUAAACUAAAACAAAAUAUAACGAUUUGUGAGACGUUGAUCAAAUAACUGCACUAAAAACCAGAACUUCAAAUAUAAAAUUUCUGUGAAUCACAACAAUAAUAACCUUGCAUUCCGUCUGGCUUGGAUUCUCUGCCGACUCGUCCAUAUCCUUGACGCUUUCCUUGGGCACCUUCAAUAAGAACAAGUCAAAACACCAACAAAAAUGAAAGAUGAGGCCACGAAAACACGAAAAGUCUCAAUCUUUCUACCAUAAACAUACAUAUGCAGAUGCUAAGAGCAACUCCAGCCCCCAACACUCUAAGCUGGGCAACAGCCCAUUUUUUCCCCUCCCUCCCCAAAAACCCAGUCCACCCCAAUCAAUCCGCUGGGCUCCGGGGAAGGCCAGCAAGCUGCCCAGCAGAAAAUCGGCUGACUCAAUACCCGGCCUACUUGACGCCAUGCUCACGUCAUCGAUUUUUUAUUUUCUCCCGACGGAUUUCUCCCUCCCCUGCGACGACCAUCGGGAAACCUGGAGAAGGUUUGGCGAACCCAGCCUUCGAGGGAGGUCGAGCCUUCGCCGUCGCCGUCGAGAACCCAGCAUCCACAUCGUGCUGCUCGCCUCCACAUCCCCAAAUCCCAGCCUUCGAGGGGAAAAUUGUGGAAAUUCCAGGAACAAAGAAGAAGAAAUGGAUCGGAGGACUGCUCCUUGGAAGGGAUCGGGAAAAGGUGGGAGACUGGGAGAGUUUCCAGGAAGAACGAAGAAGAAGAAAGAAGAAAUAGGAAAAUAAAAAAUAAAAUUAACAAUAACAUAUUUUUAUUUUUAUUAAUUUUUAAUUAUCAAUUACCAGAACAAUUAUUUUACGAGGCAGAGAUAUACUCUAUUGAUUACUAUUUAUUACAGUCAAUUAUUCUUCAUUUGAGUAGAUUAAAUUUACUAUUGCCUAGCAAGAUUUUUAGGAUGGACUUGCUUUAAAAAGAAUAUGCGCAUUAAAUUGUCAAUAUAAUAAUUAAAAACAAAAUUAAAAUAAUAAAAUUAAGCAUGUUGUAACUAAUUUUUUUCCGUAUUUACGAAAAGAAUUAAUUUUAUUUGUUCAAAAAAAAGAGUUUAAAUUUUUUAAGAUGCCUCAUAUUAAUUAAAUUUCUGACUUGGUUGCUACGGAAAUGCUAAAUGCGGAACAAGAGAGAUUUACCUGCUUGUUUUUCCUUCUCCGAGGGUGAUUAUUCUUGCGAUUCGACCCGAACUUACAAUUGCCAGUCUUCAGAUCGUACCGACAGUCCCCACCUUCCGGCCUCAAUGGGUACUGAUUCCUUCUGCUACUCUCCCCAACAACCUCCUCCUCCACCCCACCGCCAUUCUCAUUCCCUCCUCCGCUGCCGCAGACGCUGCUGCUGCUUUCGCUCUUUUCCCUCUCUCUCUCCUUCUCAUUUUCCUUUUCCUUUUCAGUCUCUCUCUCCUUCUCCUCCUCUUCUGCUUUAUCCUCCUUUUCCUUCAAACUCAAUUUCCGAAUCCCAUCAACGAUGGAAGGAUCGAAGCUCCGAUCCUCAUCGAGGAAGGCGGGGUCGAAUUGCUGAAUCUCAUCGAGCACGGCGGGGCCGAGUGUCCCAAUCCAAUCAAGGAUUUCAACAACGGACGGCUCAGGAGACGGAACAGACGGGGGAUUUUGAGCAACGCCUACGCUUUCAGAAAAUUCCGAAGGGAUAGCAGGGUCCAAGUUCCGAAUCUCAUCAACGAUGGAAGGAUCGAAGUUGCGAAUCUCAACGGCGGGGUCGAAUUGCUGAAUCUCAUGGAGGAGGGCAGGGUCGCGAUUCCUAAUCCUAUUGAGCAAGGCGGGGUCGAGUGUGUCGAGUGUCCGAAUCCAAUGAAGGAUUUCAUGGUAGCGAUCGGAUGGCGCAGGAGACGGAACAGACGUCGGAUUUAGCGGAACUCCGACGCCUUCAGAAAAUUCCGAUUUCUGUCUGGAUUUAUAGUAAUUAUAAAUUGCGACCAGCACUGACAGUGACAACGGUAGGAGGAAACGCGCCGCUGACAACAUAGUUUUUGUGCUGAUGGCGGCGGCGGAUGCGGCGGCGACGGUAGCUGAAACUGGGUUGCUAGGUUUUGCUGUGAAUUUGCAACUAGCAACUACAUUAUGGAGGAAACAAACUCUCUCAUAUGAUAAAAAUAUAUUUUGACUGGCCAAGUCAAAGUCUGCUUUUUUCAGAGGCAUGUUUGGAUUGUUUUUAAAUUCCAAAGCUGCUUAUUUUCCAAAAAAAAACAUAAAACUGCUUUAGGAAAAGUGACUUAGAUGUGAAGACUAAUUAGCAACAUAGAGAGUAUCUCAAUCUCUUGCUAUCUAUCCUUCCAUCAAUGUGGGACUCAUUCUCAACAUACCCCUUCACGUGUGGUAAAUUUUCAAACCUAGCCCAAUCAUGUGAGACACAUUCUCAACAUGCCCUCCCAUGUGAUGAAUUUUCAAACCUAAUACGUGAAUAACACAACGGGAUGACGUGAAACGCGUGUGGCUAUUUGACUUCACAUGUGGGACAACAUGUUCUGAUACCAUGAAAAAAUCCCGGCACAGGUUUUAUCGACAAUGCACGUAACGUCGCCGCAAGUUCGAUACAUAACAGAAGAUCCCGGCACAGGUUCUAUCGAGCGAGAUCCACAACCGAACCAUUUGCGGUACUCGGGAUAGGCAGCGACAUCGAAAUUGAAAGGUUAUUCUCGGCUUCAGUGUUUUCCAGUAAUAUGACAUAGAUGAGAAAUAAUUUACAGGUUCCAUUUCCUUUAAAAUCUCACAACUAUAAAGUCUGUGUCGUCCGGUGAAGAGGUUUGAUACAUUUCUAAGAUUAAAUUACCAAAAGAGAAAGAUUACACAUGUUUGAGUGAUGCAAAUCCUGUGCUCUAGGCAAGCAUUUCAUGCAUAACUUACUGCACGGGCUGCGGCUGACUUGUAACAUCAGUUCCGUUUCUGCUCCCAGCCAUUCCUGCCCCGUUAGUAGUUGCCAAAUCACUGAAAGGAAGUUGAUGAUGAGGACCAGAUGUAGUUGAAGAUGAUAUAUGUAACGGGUGGUCAAAUUUACAAGCUGGCCCAAAUUUGCAAAGGCCAUAGCGACUGUAAUGUGUGCAAAUGCUCUGAUCCUGGAUUUUGAAACAAAUUGUGUGAUCAAUGGCGUGCAAUCAUGUAAUAUGCGAUCAAACUGUGGCUCUUAGAACAGAGGGAAGAGAACAAUUAGUUAAUAAUAUUUAUGAUUCGGGAACAAUUGUCCUCGCAUAGUAAUUCAUUUGUUUUAACUUCACGUAUCACAAAGUGAAAACCUUUCUAAGAUCAUAUUUCGAAAUUAUGAACUUGUUAUAAAUGGCAUAGGGUGAACUUACCGGUCUCAAAGGCAGGCCCUUGUCACUAAGUGCGAUUUGGGGGGCUACUGCAGUAUGAGUUUUUGGAUGGUGAUAUUUGCAAUUAGAUUUAAACUUGCAAUCCCCCGUUCUUAAGAAAUAACUGCAGAAGGGUUGGCCAGGUCUUUCUGGGAACUCUUCAACUUGAUUCUGGUGUGGAUAUUGCUUGUAGAUGUUGAUUUCAGCCAGAGAGUUGUUCAUCAUGUAUGGCGGACGUGCAGGCAUGAUUCUUUCUGGUACAUAUGCUGACGCCUAAAAGUUCACAACGAAAAACAAUAGGGAUACCAAUUAACAAAAAGGGACCUCACAAACUGAUAGAUGGCAAUUAAUGACUUGUGACCGCAGAGAUGAACUAAAUAAAUUACUACAAAUGUUGCAGACAGCAAUUUGUCAAACUAUUGGGAACUUUGAGUCCUGGUUAAAGAACAAAAUUCAUGGCAUAUUUGCACGACCAAAUUAUUAAUUUUACGAGCCAAAAAUGAAUAAAAAGAGCACGGCCAGAAAAGUAUAAGAAAGUUAAACAUACAAUCGUGAUCUCAAAUUCCGGAUAAAGUGUAAAUUGGUAUAUCAAAGUGAUCAACGUUAUUCAAACCCGAGACUAUAAUAUGGGAAAGUUAAAUAAAAAGUACCUGAUAACCAUUCCAUUCUGAAUUUUGAGAAGAAACUACUUGAGGUGGUGGAAUUAUCAAUGUUGAGUAAACCGGAGACUCAUUCAAAGGCCUUGGUGCAGACCAUGGUGCCACUGUUGAUUGUGAUGCACCUUGUAAAGAUGCAGGACCACCAUUACCAUAUCCAGAUGGGGGAUCAGAUCCUCCUGUAGUUGUAGGAUCAGGGUGGUUAAACCUGCAGUUCGAUGCAUACUUGCAGGAGCCAUUUCGCAUAUAGUACGGACACUCCCUCUCAUCCUGUAACAAGUAAAAAUAAAUAUUCCCAGUAACUGACAGAGACAUAGUAAAUAGGUCCAACAAACCAAGAAAAUAAGCAAAGAUAAAAUCUUAAAAAUCGUGAAUAGAUAUUCAUUUCUCAAAACUUAGCAAGCUAGAUAGAAAAUGUAUACUGGUCGAAUUGGCAGGCCCAGAAAGUUAAGCUCAAGAACUGGAGCUACAGAAGGUUUCUCUCUGCUGUGGCUGUAUCUGCAAUUUUCCCCAUACUUACAUCCACCCGACCUCAAGUAAUACUGCAACAAGCUCAAGUGUUAUCUCAUCAUGAAACUGUUACUAGUCUGCCGUACACAUUGCAGAUAAUUGGAUAUAAGGCACAAAGAGAAGAAUUGUUACUGACAUCCGAAAGCAUAAUUGGAAUUAUUGUAUAAAGGAAUACAAGAAUGUCAUGAAAAAAGCAUACAAUUUAACAACUACCAACUUUCUAUAAUUUAAUCAAACAGAUGACAUGCCUCCCCAUACGAUAUAGACAAAUAAAGUUCCAAAUCUCAGGAUUCUGUAUUAGCUACAAGAUAAAAGUUUUUAGCUAUUUUAUUCGGUUAUUCAUGCCAACCGAAUUUUCAGAUAAGCAGAAUUAGAAAACCCCAUCAUAACAAUGACCACUUGGAUACCAAAUACAUGAACAAAAACAAAAUAUAACGAUUUGUGACACGUUGAUCAAAUAACUGCACUAAAAACCAGAACUUCACAUAUAAAAUUUAUGUAAAUCACAACAAUAAUAACCUUGCAUUCCGUCUGGCUUGGAUUCUCUGCCGACUCGUCCUUAUCCUUGACCCUUUCCUUGGGCACCUUCAAUAUGAACAAGUCAAAACACCAGCAAACCAAAUGUGGGAACCAAUAGCAGAAAUGUUCUAAUCAUACAGCCUAAGCCAAUCAGAAUUCGCCAUCACCAUUUUUAAAACAAAAUCUCAUCCAAAAUGUAUGUAAACAAAAAAAUAAAGACGAAUUUCAGCUACAACCCUAAAAAUGCAAACACAUAAUUGCCUUUGCUGCAGAAUUGCAGCUGAAAUUAACACAGGCUGGGCAAACAUAAACAAAAAGUUUCGAUUUUUAAACCGGAAAAAAAGGAAAUAAAGAGGUAUACCUGGUUGGGUUUCCUUCUAACAGGGUGAUUAAACUUGCAAUUGGAUCCAAAUUUGCAAGACCCGGUCUUUAGAUAAUAUGAACAGUCUUCAGCUUCCGGCCUCACUGGGUACUGAUACCUUCUGUUACUUUCCUGAGUUUCCACCGCCUUCUUCUCCUCCACCCCACCGCCAUCCUCCUCCCACCCCUGAUUUCCUCCCCACCCUUCUCCUCCGUCACUCUGCUCGCUCUGCUCACUCUGCCUCUCAUUUUUCUCUCCAUUUACAAUCUCAAUCUCUUGCUCACCGGAACUCUUCUCUUCUUCCUCCACUCCCUCUCCACCCUCCUCUGCCUUCGAAUCCACCUUCUGCAACUCACCAGCUCCUUCCUCCUCCGCCUUCAAAUCCGAAGGGAAAGCAGGGUCGAAGUUCCCAAUCUCAUCAACGAUGGAAGGAUCGAAGUUCCGAAUCUCAAGGUCGAAUUGCUGAAUCUCAUGGAGGAUGGCAGGGUCGCGAUUCCUAAUCCUAUUGAGCACGGCGGGGUCGAGUGUCCGAAUCCAAUCAAGGAUUUCAGGAACGAGAUCGGACCGCGCAAGUAACGGAACAGACGUCGGAUUUAGGGGAACUUCGACGCCUUCAGAAAAUUCCACCUUCUGCAACUCACCAGCCCCAUCCUCCGCCUUCAAAUCCACCUUCUGCAACUCACCAGCUCCAUCCUCCGCCUUCAAAUCCACCUUCUGCAACUCACCAGCUCCAUCCUCCUCCACCUUCUCUACUGAAUCCAGCUUCUGCACCUCAUCAGGCUCUCCAUCGUCCUCCCCCUCCUCUUUCAAAUCCAGUUUCUGAAGCUCGUCGAGGACCGCAUGAUCGAGACCAGAGGAUGCGAGAGCGGGAUUGGGAGAAGAAGGCAGAAAGCCCUGGUCGGAAUGAGCGUGGUUGGUGCUGGGGGUUUCGGGAUCUGGGGGAACAAGAGAGAUAGCUUCAGAGAUUUCCAUUCUCCCUCCACAUUUCAAAACCCUAACUCUUCUGAGAAGAAAUGAACUGACUCUCCUUGACAGAAAGGGAAAGAGACAGAAACGGGGUUGAUGUGAAAACCGCUUUUUGAGGAUUUUCUUGCCUUUCUGUGCACACGCAACAUCAUCCUUUUAGGUAUUAUAAUAUGAUAAGCGUUAUUUAUAUACUUAUUUUUACUUUUAACAUUCCUCUUUUUAUUUAAUGGUUAAAUCGAAUGAAUUGAUAAAGAUUAUUAGUAAAAAGUUAACGGGUGUGUGGGAUUUGUGAAUAGAAAUAUCCAUAUAAUAAUGGUGAUUGAGACGUUUUUAUUUGGAGUAAUGUUAGAUAAACCAACUUUUUAGAUCAGAUUUGUAUAUUACAUGAUGUGUUAAUUAGUAGAAAAUAAGUACGUUAAUCGACACUCAAAUAAUAAUUCAAUCAUUAACAACCGCGUUAUAUGUUUUAUAAAAUUUGGUUUAAAAAGCUGAGCUCCCUAGUACUAACCUUUUAUUUGAGAGAAGUUUAGAUAGUACAAAUAUAUUUGGAUAGCGACUUCUUGUAUCAAUGAUACAAGAUUGGUGUAAGUUUUACUUUACAAUCAGCACAAAUUGUCACAAUAUUAUAUCGUCAUAAAUUGGUAUGAAACAUCACUGUGAUGAUAUAUCUAUUUUAUAUAAAUUGCUCUCCGCUUCUAAAGUAUGUUAAUAAAAAAAAUACAAAUGCACUGUCUUAUAUUAUUGACUUAAUUAGACAAAUGGUUCUCGUAAUUAUAGGAUAGUUGAAACAUAGCCCAUUUGAUACAAAAUAAAAUUAGAAUUUACACCCUUGUGGUGAAAGACCAUUUGACAAUUUAGUUCAAAAGUGAAACUUGCGUCAGAAUCUGUCAAAAUAAAGGGGUAAACAUGUAUUUUCGUGUCCUUAAACGAACACCUCUCCCCUCUUCUCUAUGUCUUCUGUCUCGCACUUUCUUGUUGCUCAUGGUUAUCCUCAAUACGAAGCCAGCAACCGAACGCAAACAAAAGCAAUCCCAAAUUCAACUGAGAAAAAGAGGGGUAACAUUGAAUCAAGAUGAAAAGGGAGGUUAAGAAUAAGAGAUGAAAUUUGAUAGAUGUUGAAGCUAUAAAAAAAUUACGGAAAAUCGAAGCAAUUGGAUGUCCGACUCGGGCCUAUAUGACAUGACUGAUCAAUAGAAAUACUCUAACACUCCACCUUUGUCAUAUAUUCCAUACAUUCGGAUCUAUUUAGCUAUAGGAUGCGGGUGCACUUUAACGGGACACUCAACGGAAAUCUCAAUUUUGGAUUAAAUUGCUAACAGUAUUCACAACAAAGAUUUAAAUUCUAAUUUUUUAUAGUCUUAUUAUACAAAAUGGUCUCUGAUAUUUGCAUGAUCAAUAGAAAUGACCUCUGAGAUUUAAAACCAAUAGAAAUGGUCCUUGAGAUUGUCUACCAUCCAUGAUUUUGGUUCUUCUGUUAAAAACGCUUUGAACAAUUUUCAAAGCUUUAUAACUUAACCAAAUUCGACCCAUAAUAUAUCAAAAUGAAGAUAUAAAAGU